RNAcentral lists this ribosomal RNA (490 nucleotides) under uncultured bacterium. Its description in RNAcentral is "partial 16S ribosomal RNA". It matches the Rfam family "Bacterial small subunit ribosomal RNA", at positions 30 to 507 of the family's 1533-position model. The record is from RNAcentral.
AUUGAACGCUGGCGGCAGGCCUAACACAUGCAAGUCGAACGGUAACAGGAAGAAGCUUGCUUCUUUGCUGACGAGUGGCGGACGGGUGAGUAAUGUCUGGGAAACUGCCUGAUGGAGGGGGAUAACUACUGGAAACGGUAGCUAAUACCGCAUAACGUCGCAAGACCAAAGAGGGGGACCUUCGGGCCUCUUGCCAUCGGAUGUGCCCAGAUGGGAUUAGCUAGUAGGUGGGGUAACGGCUCACCUAGGCGACGAUCCCUAGCUGGUCUGAGAGGAUGACCAGCCACACUGGAACUGAGACACGGUCCAGACUCCUACGGGAGGCAGCAGUGGGGAAUAUUACACAAUGGGCGCAAGCCUGAUGCAGCCAUGCCGCGUGUAUGAAGAAGGCCUUCGGGUUGUAAAGUACUUUCAGCGGGGAGGAAGGGAGUAAAGUUAAUACCUGUGCUCAUUGACGUUACCCGCAGAAGAAGCACCGGCUAACUCCGUG